RNAcentral lists this ribosomal RNA (942 nucleotides) under uncultured bacterium. RNAcentral's name for it is "bacterial SSU rRNA". It matches the Rfam family "Bacterial small subunit ribosomal RNA", at positions 52 to 988 of the family's 1533-position model. The record is from RNAcentral.
CACAUGCAAGUCGAGGGGCAGCAUAAUGGAUAGCAAUAUCUAUGGUGGCGACCGGCGCACGGGUGCGUAACGCGUAUGCAACCUACCUUUAACAGGGGGAUAACACUGAGAAAUUGGUACUAAUACCCCAUAAUAUCAUAGAAGGCAUCUUUUAUGGUUGAAAAUUCCGAUGGUUAGAGAUGGGCAUGCGUUGUAUUAGCUAGUUGGUGGGGUAACGGCUCACCAAGGCGACGAUACAUAGGGGGACUGAGAGGUUAACCCCCCACACUGGUACUGAGACACGGACCAGACUCCUACGGGAGGCAGCAGUGAGGAAUAUUGGUCAAUGGACGCAAGUCUGAACCAGCCAUGCCGCGUGCAGGAUGACGGCUCUAUGAGUUGUAAACUGCUUUUGUACGAGGGUAAACGCAGAUACGUGUAUCUGUCUGAAAGUAUCGUACGAAUAAGGAUCGGCUAACUCCGUGCCAGCAGCCGCGGUAAUACGGAGGAUUCAAGCGUUAUCCGGAUUUAUUGGGUUUAAAGGGUGCGUAGGCGGUUUGAUAAGUUAGAGGUGAAAUUUCGGGGCUCAACCCUGAACGUGCCUCUAAUACUGUUGAGCUAGAGAGUAGUUGCGGUAGGCGGAAUGUAUGGUGUAGCGGUGAAAUGCUUAGAGAUCAUACAGAACACCGAUUGCGAAGGCAGCUUACCAAACUAUAUCUGACGUUGAGGCACGAAAGCGUGGGGAGCAAACAGGAUUAGAUACCCUGGUAGUCCACGCAGUAAACGAUGAUAACUCGUUGUCGGCGAUACACAGUCGGUGACUAAGCGAAAGCGAUAAGUUAUCCACCUGGGGAGUACGUUCGCAAGAAUGAAACUCAAAGGAAUUGACGGGGGCCCGCACAAGCGGAGGAACAUGUGGUUUAAUUCGAUGAUACGCGAGGAACCUUACCCGGGCUUGAAAGU